GACUGCUGUGUGUGAAGCACUCAAGAGAGCCCCUGCAACCAACCUGCCAGGAGUCAGCUCCUGAAAACAGGGUCGGAAAAGGGGUAUGGCACUCUUCCUCAUGCUUACCAGAUGGCUGCUGGAAUUCCAGGAAUCACAUGCCAAUUCUAGGCAGGAGCAAAGAGGAAGAGACACAGUGAAAAGGGGUAUACAGCGGCAGAAGGAUCUCCUUCUAUCACAGUGGCGAGAACUGUGACAAGUGACCAUCCUUAGGGGAAAAAAGAUGCUGAGAAAUGUAGAAUUUUGUUGCCACCUUACAUUUUCAAAGGAGUUCCAUUCGUAAGUACAGAACGCUCAGAGAAGAGGCAGCAGAUCUAGGCUAUGGAGCAGCAGCUCCUAAGGGCACAGUGGGAAGGUUUCAAGACCGAGCAGGAUCUGGGAUUUGGGUAGGGGAAGGCAGUUCACAGUAUUGUGGAGGAAAUGCUGUGAAAGAGAAAGUGGAAGGCAUGGAGGCUUAAACUUUUUAAUAUGACUGGCGAAUACAAGGAUGAAGGGCAAAGGGAAUUCAGAUUCAUGGUGGUCAGAUUAAGACCUUUAGCAGAUCUGUCUCCCAGCCCCACACACCCACUUCCAGGUUCUGCUUUUUACUGAAGCUCAAAGUCUGCAACCUUCGUUCUCUGACUCCCUUACAUUUUCUUAGGCUUCUUGCUAGCUUCUGCCAAAAAGAGGCCCUGGCAGGAGAUUAGAUGGCAGAGGGCAGAGGUAAGGAUUCCAUGCAACAGGUGCUGGAAGUUGCUGGUGUGGCAAUGAGAACUGGGCCCCGGUCAAGGGAGCACUACUUUGGUAGAUCCAGAAUCAACCACGAUAACCAUGACAGUGUCUUCAACAGUGCAGCAGUAGACACAGGCCCCUGGUGCUGGAAUCCAAUCCAGGGACUGGAGCAGCAUGGAGUCACCGAACACCAUCUUGCCUUCAUGUCACUUUUCCGUUUCUUCUUUCUCUCUCUUACUCCACCAGCUACCUGUGGAGAUGUUUAACCUUUUAUCUGCAGCUGUCUGCUUAGGAACAAAAGAAAAGGCAGCUUAUUGCAUGACUCAGCUUUCAGCUUGAUUUUUUUCUUUUGGCAGAGUGAAUUGGGGUCCCAGGUUUUUAUUUUCCUUUUGUAGUACCUUUCCUCAACAUGCAAUUUAAUACAAAAAGAACAAUAAACCUUAACUAAGUUUGGUGUGUAUUA
RNAcentral lists this long non-coding RNA (1213 nucleotides) under Pongo abelii (Sumatran orangutan). RNAcentral's name for it is "lincRNA". The record is from RNAcentral. Lineage: Eukaryota; Metazoa; Chordata; Mammalia; Primates; Hominidae.